GGCUCUUUGGCAAUGUGGCCAGCGCGUUUGACUCAUACUCAGGAGCUUGGGGUUCAAUCCCCCGCCUGGGCCC
Gymnothorax javanicus (giant moray) is the source of this 73-nucleotide non-coding RNA. The record is from the annotation of a GenBank genome assembly. NCBI's taxonomy places the organism in Eukaryota, Metazoa, Chordata, Actinopteri, Anguilliformes, Muraenidae.